UACGUAGGAUGCGAGCGUUAUCCGGAUUUAUUGGGUUUAAAGGGUGCGUAGGCGGUCCGGAAAGUCAGCGGUAAAAGCCCGGGGCUCAACCCCGGCGAGCCGUUGAAACUGUCGGACUAGAGACGGCGAGAAGUACGCGGAAUGCGCGGUGUAGCGGUGAAAUGCAUAGAUAUCGCGCAGAACUCCGAUUGCGAAGGCAGCGUACCGGCGCCGGACUGACGCUGAGGCACGAAAGCGUGGGUAUCGAACAGG
RNAcentral lists this ribosomal RNA (252 nucleotides) under uncultured bacterium. RNAcentral describes it as "partial 16S ribosomal RNA". It matches the Rfam family "Bacterial small subunit ribosomal RNA", at positions 524 to 776 of the family's 1533-position model. The record is from RNAcentral.